GCCGGUGUGAUGGAAUUGGCAGACGUGCUUGACUCAAAAUCAAGUGUCCAUUGGACGUGCCGGUUCGAGUCCGGCCACCGGCACCA
This 86-nucleotide transfer RNA is filed under the name Ruminococcaceae bacterium OttesenSCG-928-O06. Its description in RNAcentral is "tRNA-Leu". It matches the Rfam family "tRNA". Rfam says of the family: Transfer RNA (tRNA) molecules are approximately 80 nucleotides in length. Their secondary structure includes four short double-helical elements and three loops (D, anti-codon, and T loops). Further hydrogen bonds mediate the characteristic L-shaped molecular structure. tRNAs have two regions of fundamental functional importance: the anti-codon, which is responsible for specific mRNA codon recognition, and the 3' end, to which the tRNAs corresponding amino acid is attached (by aminoacyl-tRNA synthetases). tRNAs cope with the degeneracy of the genetic code in two manners: having more than one tRNA (with a specific anti-codon) for a particular amino acid; and 'wobble' base-pairing, i.e. permitting non-standard base-pairing at the 3rd anti-codon position. Lineage: Bacteria; Bacillati; Bacillota; Clostridia; Eubacteriales; Oscillospiraceae. The record is from RNAcentral.